AAAAGAUACAAAGAGCAUGUGGGGAAUACCUUGGCAUACAGAGCUGAUGAAGGACGUGGUUAGCUGCGAAAAGCUUCGGGGAGCCGCUAGCGGGCUUUGAUCCGGAGAUAUCCGAAUGGGGAAACCUUCCAUGGGUAAUGCUGUGGAACGUAUAGCUGAAUUCAUAGGCUAUAUGAAGCAAGCAGGGGAACUGAAACAUCCAAGUACCCUGAAGAAAGGAAAUCAAGUGAGACUCCCUUAGUAGUGGCGAACGAACGGGGAUCAGCCUAAAUCCAUCAAGUGUAAAGCUAACAGGCGUUGCUUGAUGGUGGUCAUGGGGCGCAGUUUGAAAACGCUGUUACGUUUUCGAGAAGUUACCAAAACAUAUAUUAGAUGAAGCUUUUGGAAAGAAGCACCAAAGAAAGUGAUAGUCUUGUAAUCGAAAAUAUAUGUUCUUCUUUAUUGCGUUCCCGAGUAGAACGGGACACGAGGAAUCCUGUUUGAAUUUGGGUGGACCAUUAUCCAAGGCUAAGUACUCCUGUAUGACCGAUAGUGAACUAGUACCGUGAGGGAAAGGUGAAAAGAACCCCGACAGGGGAGUGAAAUAGAAUAUGAAACCACAUGCUUACAAGCAAUCAGAGGCCGCAAGGCUGAUGGUGUGCCUAUUGAAGAAUGAGCCGGCGACUUAUGGGUAGCAGCAAGGUUAAGCUUUAAGCGGAGCCGUAGCGAAAGCGAGUCUGAUAAGGGCGUUAAGUUGCUAUUUAUAGACCCGAAACCAAGUGAUCUAGCCAUGGGCAGGGAGAAGCCUCUGUAACAAGAGGUGGAGGCCCGAACUGGUUGAUGUUGAAAAAUCUUCGGAUGACCUGUGGCUAGUGAUGAAAUUUCAAUCGAACUUGGUGAUAGCUGGUUCUCUCCGAAAUGUCUUUAGGGACAGCCUCGGAUCAAAUCUAUCGGGGGUAGAGCACUGUUUAGGCUAGGGGGCUCACCAAAGCCUACCAAACCUAGGCAAACUCCGAAUACCGAUAGCCAUUAUCCGGGAGUGAGAACAUGAGGGAUAAGCUUCAUGCUCAAAAGGGAAACAGCCCUUGAUCGUCGGUUAAGGUCCCUAAACUAUGCUAAGUGGGAAAGGAAGUUAGAACUCUUAUACAGCCAGGAUGUUGGCUUAGAAGCAGCCAUCAUUUAAAGAAAGCGUAAUAGCUCACUGGUCUAGUAUUCUAGCGCCUAAGAUGUAACGGGGCUAAGCAUAGUACCGAAACUGCGGAUUUGUUAUCGCAAGAUAAUAAGUGGUAGGAGAGCGUUCUAUAUUGGCUGAAGUCAGGUUGUAAAGCCUGGUGGACGAUAUAGAAGUGAGAAUGUCGGCAUGAGUAACGAAAAAACAAGUGAGAAUCUUGUUCGCCGAAAAUCUAAGGUUUCCUGGGCAAGGGUCGUCCUCCCAGGGUUAGUCGGUCCUAAGUUGAGGCCGAAGGGCGUAGACGAUGGACAACAGGUUAAUAUUCCUGUACCAGUAAAUAUCGUUAUUACCAAUGGAGAGACGCAGGAGGCUAAGCAAGGCCGGUAAUUGGAUUCCGGUUUAAGCCCGUAGGGGGAAAGAAUAGGCAAAUCCGUUCUUUCGUUAACCCUGAGAGGUGAUGACGUAAGCUGCUGAUGCCACGCUGACUAGAAAAUCUUCUAGGGAGAGCAUUUACUGACCGUACUAAAACCGACACAGGUAGAUGAGUAGAGCAUACUAAGGCGCGCGAGAUAAUUCUCGUUAAGGAACUCGGCAAAAUACACCCGUAACUUCGGGAAAAGGGUGGCCAGGGUAAGGUGAAGGAGUACAUCCGGAGCCUGAACUGGCAGCAUAAAAUAGGUGUUGGCGACUGUUUAGCAAAAACACAGGUCUCUGCUAAGCCGGAAGGCGAAGUAUAGGGGCUGACUCCUGCCCAGUGCUGGAAGGUUAAGAGGAGGUGUUAGGCGUAAGCCGAAGCAGCGAAUUGAAGCCCCAGUGAACGGCGGCCGUAACUAUAACGGUCCUAAGGUAGCGAAAUUCCUUGUCGGGUAAGUUCCGACCCGCACGAAUGGAGUAACGACUUGCACACUGUCUUAACGAGGAACUCGGUGAAAUUGGAAUAUCGGUGAAGAUACCGAUUACCUGCAGCAGGACAGAAAGACCCCGUGGAGCUUUACUAUAGCUUGGCUUUGAGUUUUGAAACUACUCGUGCAGGAUAGGUGGGAGACUUUGAACCUUUGGCGUCAGCCAGGGGGGAGUCGUCGUUGAGAUACCACCCUAGUUGUUUUGGAAUUCUAACCUAGUACCGUAAUCCGGUCUAGGGACAUAGUCUGGUGGGUAGUUUGACUGGGGCGGUCGCCUCCUAAAAAGUAACGGAGGUGUUCAAAGGUUCCCUCAGAACGGUUGGAAAUCGUUUGUAGAGUGCAAGGGCAUAAGGGAGCUUAACUGCGAGACUGGCAGGUCGAGCAGAGACGAAAGUCGGACCUAGUGAUCCGGUGACUCCGUAUGGAAGGGUCAUCGCUCAACGGAUAAAAGUUACCCCGGGGAUAACAGGCUGAUACUUCCCAAGAGUUCAUAUCGACGGAAGUGUUUGGCACCUCGAUGUCGGCUCGUCACAUCCUGGAGCUGGAGCAGGUUCCAAGGGUUGGGCUGUUCGCCCAUUAAAGUGGUACGUGAGCUGGGUUCAGAACGUCGUGAGACAGUUUGGUCCAUAUCCGCUGUAGGCGCUAGAGAUUUGAGGGGAGCUGACCCUAGUACGAGAGGACCGGGUUGGACGAACCUCUGGUGUACCAGUUAUCGUGCCAACGGUAAACGCUGGAUAGCCACGUUCGGAUCAGAUAAUCGCUGAAAGCAUCUAAGCGAGAAACUGGCCCCAAGAUUAGAUCUCUUUUAAGAUCCCAUGUAGACUACAUGGUUGAUAGGCCGGAGGUGUAAGUGCAGCAAUGCAUUCAGCUGACCGGUACUAAUAGAUCGUAAUCUUUUUAUG
This 2954-nucleotide ribosomal RNA is filed under the name microbial mat metagenome. RNAcentral describes it as "bacterial LSU rRNA". It matches the Rfam family "Bacterial large subunit ribosomal RNA". The record is from RNAcentral.